GACGAACGCUGGCGGCGUGCUUAACACAUGCAAGUCGAACGGAAAGGCCCUGCUUUUGUGGGGUGCUCGAGUGGCGAACGGGUGAGUAACACGUGAGUAACCUGCCCUUGACUUUGGGAUAACUUCAGGAAACUGGGGCUAAUACCGGAUAGGAGCUCCUGCUGCAUGGUGGGGGUUGGAAAGUUUCGGCGGUUGGGGAUGGACUCGCGGCUUAUCAGCUUGUUGGUGGGGUAGUGGCUUACCAAGGCUUUGACAGGUAGCCGGCCUGAGAGGGUGACCGGCCACAUUGGGACUGAGAUACGGCCCAGACUCCUACGGGUGGCAGCAGUGGGGAAUAUUGCACAAUGGGCGGAAGCCUGAUGCAGCAACGCCGCGUGCGGGAUGACGGCCUUCGGGUUGUAAACCGCUUUCGCCUGUGACGAAGCGUGAGUGACGGUAAUGGGUAAAGAAGCACCGGCUAACUACGUG
This 468-nucleotide ribosomal RNA is filed under the name uncultured bacterium. RNAcentral's name for it is "partial 16S ribosomal RNA". It matches the Rfam family "Bacterial small subunit ribosomal RNA", at positions 28 to 507 of the family's 1533-position model. The record is from RNAcentral.